AUUGAACGCUGGCGGCAUGCCUUACACAUGCAAGUCGAACGGCAGCACGGGAGCAAUCCUGGUGGCGAGUGGCGAACGGGUGAGUAAAGUAUCGGAACGUGCCCAGUCGUGGGGGAUAACGUAGCGAAAGUUACGCUAAUACCGCAUACGAUCUAUGGAUGAAAGCGGGGGAUCGCAAGACCUCGCGCGAUUGGAGCGGCCGAUAUCAGAUUAGGUAGUUGGUGGGGUAAAGGCUCAACAAGCCGACGAUCUGUAGCUGGUCUGAGAGGACGACCAGCCACACUGGGACUGAGACACGGCCCAGACUCCUACGGGAGGCAGCAGUGGGGAAUCUUGGACAAUGGGCGAAAGCCUGAUCCAGCCAUGCCGCGUGCAGGAUGAAGGCCUUCGGGUUGUAAACUGCUUUUGUACGGAACGAAAAGGUUUGGCCUAAUAAGCUGAGCUCAUGACGGUACCGUAAGAAUAAGCACCGGCUAACUACGUGCCAGCCGCCGCAGUAA
This 500-nucleotide ribosomal RNA is filed under the name uncultured bacterium. RNAcentral's name for it is "partial 16S ribosomal RNA". It matches the Rfam family "Bacterial small subunit ribosomal RNA", at positions 30 to 523 of the family's 1533-position model. The record is from RNAcentral.